UUUUAAGAUCCUAUGCAUUUCAGUCAUUGACCAUUACACAUCAGUUGAUGCAAAAUCUAUUACCUGUACUUUUAGUGUCAGCCUUAGUUACUUUGAUGUGCUCAUUUUUUACAGGGCUUCACCGAUAUCUUUUCCUAGUUUAUGAACAAAAAGGAAAAGUUGAGUUUAAGAAGCCUCCAUUAACUGACAGGAAUGAUUGGGGCCGAGCAAAUUGGUCGAGCCGAAAAUUUGCGGAAAAAUAUAACCUUGGGGAGCCAUAUGCAGUCAAUUUUUUCUACAGUAAAUAUACGAAUUUAACAUUCCUUCCAACCGCAAAGGCUUACCUGACAUCCGAAGUAUAUCCUGCCGUUUCGACGAUUAGGAAUCAGAUUUAAA
Bemisia tabaci is the source of this 375-nucleotide non-coding RNA. NCBI's taxonomy places the organism in Eukaryota, Metazoa, Arthropoda, Insecta, Hemiptera, Aleyrodidae. The record is from RefSeq and is a predicted model, not a curated record.